This 465-nucleotide ribosomal RNA is filed under the name uncultured bacterium. RNAcentral's name for it is "partial 16S ribosomal RNA". It matches the Rfam family "Bacterial small subunit ribosomal RNA", at positions 28 to 507 of the family's 1533-position model. The record is from RNAcentral.
GAUGAACGCUGGCGGCGUGCUUAACACAUGCAAGUCGAACGGAAAGGCUCCUGCUUGCAGGGGUACUCGAGUGGCGCACGGGUGAGUAACACGCGGGUGAUCUGCCCUGCACUUCGGGAUAAGCCUGCGAAACUGGGUCUCAUAUCGGAUAGGACGAUGGUUUGGAUGUCAUUCUGGAAUGUUAUUCGGUGUGGGUUGAGCUCGCGGCCUAUCAGCUUGUUGGUGGGGUAAUGGCCUACCAAGGCGUCGACGGGUAGCCGGCCUGAGAGGGUGUACGGCGACAUUAGGACUGAGAGACGGCCCAGACGCCUACGGGAGGCAGCAGUGGGGAAUCUGGCACAAUGGGGGCGAGCCUGAGGCAGCGGCGCCGCGUGGGUGAUGACGGCCUUCGAGUGAUGAACUCCUUUCGCUAGGGACGAAGCGCAAGUGACGGUACCUAAAGAAAAAGCACCGGCUAACUACGUG